UUUUUUUUUUUUUUCGCUUAAAACGGGUUCUUCAAACAAAGCGUGUCCGAAUACACCCAAGAACAUCAAAAUACAAAAUCUCGCGUAGCGCCGAUGGCAGCUCCCGCUCUCCUGACCACAGGGCGUAACCCGAAUGGUGUGCUACAUAUGUAGCUACCCAGUCAGUCGCCCCGUUGGCCUCCCUGUAUACAUGCUUAGCCUCAAAGGCCACAACAUCUCUCACCAUCAACCUAAUAUCCCGGAUCAAAGGAUGGUCAGUGCUCUCCCGCCGAAUCCACCCAAUGACAGUGGAUGAGUCGCCCUCCAAGAUGAUCGAGCU
This 319-nucleotide long non-coding RNA is filed under the name Phoenix dactylifera (date palm). Its description in RNAcentral is "long non-coding RNA (PDAC_LNC001062)". The record is from RNAcentral. Lineage: Eukaryota; Viridiplantae; Streptophyta; Magnoliopsida; Arecales; Arecaceae.